Molecule: ribosomal RNA, 248 nt
Filed under: uncultured bacterium
Lineage: Bacteria
Description: partial 16S ribosomal RNA
Rfam family: Bacterial small subunit ribosomal RNA
Source: RNAcentral
AAUCAACGCUGGCGGCGUGCCUAACACAUGCAAGUCGUACGAGAAAGAGGGGGCAACCCCUUGAGUACAGUGGCGUACGGGUGAGUAACACGUGACUAACCUACCUUCGAGUGGGGAAGUAACCUACGGGAAACCGGGGACGUAAGACCGCAUAAUAAUCUUUGGGUUUAAAGUUACCUUGAUGAUCAAAUAGCGCAAGCAGCUUGAAGAGGGGGUCGGCGGUUGAUUAGCUAGUUGGUGGGGUAAGU